This 253-nucleotide ribosomal RNA is filed under the name uncultured bacterium. RNAcentral describes it as "partial 16S ribosomal RNA". It matches the Rfam family "Bacterial small subunit ribosomal RNA", at positions 524 to 776 of the family's 1533-position model. The record is from RNAcentral.
UACGAAGGGGGCUAGCGUUGCUCGGAAUCACUGGGCGUAAAGGGCGCGUAGGCGGCUUAUCAAGUCGGGGGUGAAAGCCCGUGGCUCAACCACGGAAUGGCCUUCGAUACUGGUAGGCUUGAGACCGGAAGAGGACAGCGGAACUGCGAGUGUAGAGGUGAAAUUCGUAGGUAUUCGCAAGAACACCAGUGGCGAAGGCGGCUGUCUGGACAGGUACUGACGCUGAGACGCGAAAGCGUGGGUAGCAAACAGG